RNAcentral lists this ribosomal RNA (499 nucleotides) under uncultured bacterium. RNAcentral describes it as "partial 16S ribosomal RNA". It matches the Rfam family "Bacterial small subunit ribosomal RNA", at positions 899 to 1397 of the family's 1533-position model. The record is from RNAcentral.
ACUCAAAUGAAUAGACGGGGGCCCGCACAAGCGGUGGAACAUGUGGUUUAAUUCGACGCAACGCGAAGAACCUUACCUGGGUUUGACAUCCCGUGCUAUCCCUUGAAAGAGGGAGUUCUCUUCGGAGACGCGGAGACAGGUGCUGCAUGGCUGUCGUCAGCUCGUGUCGUGAGAUGUUGGGUUAAGUCCCGCAACGAGCGCAACCCUCGUCCUUAGUUGCCAUCGGGUCAUGCUGGGCACUCUAAGGAGACUGCCGGUGAUAAGCCGGAGGAAGGUGGGGAUGACGUCAAGUCCUCAUGGCCUUUAUAUCCAGGGCUACACACGUGUUACAAUGGGGGAUACAAAGAGACGCCAGACCGCGAGGUUGAGCAAAUCUCAAAAAAACCCUCUCAGUUCGGAUUGCAGUCUGCAACUCGACUGCAUGAAGUUGGAAUCGCUAGUAAUCGCGGAUCAGAACGCCGCGGUGAAUACGUUCCCGGGCCUUGCACACACCGCCCGU